This 514-nucleotide ribosomal RNA is filed under the name Heterosigma akashiwo. RNAcentral's name for it is "partial Bacterial small subunit ribosomal RNA". It matches the Rfam family "Bacterial small subunit ribosomal RNA", at positions 271 to 777 of the family's 1533-position model. The record is from RNAcentral. Lineage: Eukaryota; Raphidophyceae; Chattonellales; Chattonellaceae.
AGGCGACGAUCCGUAGCUGGUCUGAGAGGAUGAUCAGCCACAUCGGGACUGAGACACGGCCCGAACUCCUACGGGAGGCAGCAGUGGGGAAUAUUGGACAAUGGGGGCAACCCUGAUCCAGCCAUGCCGCGUGUGUGAAGAAGGCUUUCGGGUUGUAAAGCACUUUCAGUGAGGAGGAAAACUCUGCGACUAAUACUCGUAGGGCUUGACGUUACUCACAGAAGAAGCACCGGCUAACUCCGUGCCAGCAGCCGCGGUAAUACGGAGGGAGCUAGCGUUGUUCGGAAUUACUGGGCGUAAAGCGUACGUAGGCGGAUUAGAAAGUAGGGGGUGAAAUCCCAGGGCUCAACCCUGGAACUGCCUCCUAAACUACUAGUCUAGAGUUCGAGAGAGGUGAGUGGAAUUCCAAGUGUAGAGGUGAAAUUCGUAGAUAUUUGGAGGAACACCAGUGGCGAAGGCGGCUACCUGGACCAAUACUGACACUGAGGUGCGAAAGCGUGGGGAGCAAACAGGA